AAACUAACAAGGAUUCCCCUAGUAACGGCGAGUGAAGCGGGAUGAGCUCAAAUUUGAAAUCUGGCAGCCUCCGGUUGUCCGAGUUGUAAACUAGAGAAGCGUUUUCCGUGCCGGCCUGUGUACAAGUCCCUUGGAAUAGGGCGUCAUAGAGGGUGAGAAUCCCGUCCUUGACACAGACCACCGGUGCUAUGUGAUACGCUCUCGACGAGUCGAGUUGUUUGGGGAAUGCAGCUCAAAUUGGGUGGUAAAUUCCAUCUAAGGCUAAAUAUUGGCGAGAGACCGAUAGCGAACAAGUACCGUGAGGGAAAGAUGAAAAGCACUUUGGAAAGAGAGUUAAACAGUACGUGAAAUUGUUGAAAGGGAAACGAUUGAAGUCAGUCAUGCGUGCUCGGACUCAGCUGGGUUCGUCCCAGUCUAUUUCCGGGUGCCGCAGGUCAGCAUCAGUUUCGGGCGGUGGAAAACGGGCGGGGGAAGGUGGCAUCUCCGGAUGUGUUAUAGCCCCCGUUUGGAUGCAUCGCGUGGGACUGAGGAACGCAGCGCGCCCUUCACGGGGUCGGUCUCCGGACACGAACGCGCUUAGGAUGCUGGCAUAAUGCUUUAAA
This 602-nucleotide ribosomal RNA is filed under the name Phaffia rhodozyma. RNAcentral's name for it is "partial 26S ribosomal RNA". It matches the Rfam family "Eukaryotic large subunit ribosomal RNA", at positions 62 to 643 of the family's 3401-position model. Lineage: Eukaryota; Fungi; Basidiomycota; Tremellomycetes; Cystofilobasidiales; Mrakiaceae. The record is from RNAcentral.